RNAcentral lists this long non-coding RNA (234 nucleotides) under Elaeis guineensis (African oil palm). Its description in RNAcentral is "long non-coding RNA (EGUI_LNC012774)". Lineage: Eukaryota; Viridiplantae; Streptophyta; Magnoliopsida; Arecales; Arecaceae. The record is from RNAcentral.
GGGGCUCUUGGUCUCCCUUGUUUCCAAUGAGGAGAUCCUCCCCCCCAGCCGACCACCACUCAGGCUGGUGGGGCAGUCCCUGACGAUGUCGAGCGGUCGGGUCUGAUGACCGACGGUAGCUCACGACGAUGGAAAUCAAAGACGGAAGACAAAAUAGAGAAUUUGAAAAAACACUAAUGAUUUUCAAGGGAUUUUCAACAGAAAACUCAAAAAAAAAUUAAGAUUAAAAGCAGG